Molecule: ribosomal RNA, 420 nt
Filed under: bacterium
Lineage: Bacteria
Description: partial 16S ribosomal RNA
Rfam family: Bacterial small subunit ribosomal RNA
Source: RNAcentral
UGGGGGAUAUUGCACAAUGGGCGAAAGCCUGAUGCAGCGACGCCGCGUGGGGGAUGAAGGCUUUCGGGUUGUAAACCUCUUUCGCUAUCGAACAAGGCCCGCUUAGGGUGGGUUGAGGGUAGGUGGAGAAGAAGCGCCGGCUAACUACGUGCCAGCAGCCGCGGUAAUACGUAGGGCGCGAGCGUUGUCCGGAAUUAUUGGGCGUAAAGGGCUUGUAGGCGGCUUGUUGCGCCUGCUGUGAAAACGCGGGGCUUAACUUCGCGCGUGCAGUGGGUACGGGCAGGCUUGAGUGUGGUAGGGGUGACUGGAAUUCCAGGCGUAGCGGUGGAAUGCGCAGAUAUCUGGAGGAACACCGAUGGCGAAGGCAGGUCACUGGGCCAUUACUGACGCUGAGGAGCGAAAGCAUGGGUAGCGAACAGG